GACGAACGCUGGCGGCGUGCUUAACACAUGCAAGUCGAACGGUGAAGCCCUUCGGGGUGGGGCAGUUGCGAACGGGUAAGUGACACUUGAGCAACCUUCCCCUGGCUCUGGGACAACCACUACAACCGGUGGCUAAUACCGGUUACGGCUCGGCGCUCCUGCUGGUGGGGGGGGAAAGUUUAUCGGCUGGGGAUGGGCUCGCGGCCUAUCAGCUUGUUGGUGGGGUGAAGGCUCACCAAGGCGACGACGGGUAGCCGGCCUGAGAGGGCGACCGGCCACACUGGGACUGAGAUACGGCCCAGACUCCUACGGGAGGCAGCAGUGGGGAAUAUUGCACAAUGGGCGGAAGCCUGAUGCAGCAACGCCGCGUGCGGGAUGACGGCCUUCGGGUUGUAAACCUCUUUCAGCUCUGACGAAGCGAAAGUGACGGUAGUGGCAGAAGAAGCACCGGCUAACUACGUG
RNAcentral lists this ribosomal RNA (462 nucleotides) under uncultured bacterium. RNAcentral's name for it is "partial 16S ribosomal RNA". It matches the Rfam family "Bacterial small subunit ribosomal RNA", at positions 28 to 507 of the family's 1533-position model. The record is from RNAcentral.